Molecule: ribosomal RNA, 433 nt
Filed under: uncultured bacterium
Lineage: Bacteria
Description: partial 16S ribosomal RNA
Rfam family: Bacterial small subunit ribosomal RNA
Source: RNAcentral
AACGAACGCUGGCGGCAUGCCUAACACAUGCAAGUCGAACGAGACCUCCGGGUCUAGUGGCGCACGGGUGUGUAACAUGUCGGAAUCUGCCCUUUGCCUCGGAAUAAUAGUUAGAAAUGGCUGCUAAUAUCGGAUGAUGUCGAAAGAUCAAAGAUUGAACGUAAAAGGAUGAGCACGCGAAGUUUUAGGUGGUUGGGGGUGUAAAGGCCUACCACGGCGAGGAUCCUUAGCUGGUUUGAGAGAAAGAUCAGCCACACUGAGGCUGGGAAGCGGCGCAGACUCCCACGCAAUGCAGCAGAGGGGGAUAUUGGACAAUGGGGGGAGGCAUGAUGCAGCAAGGCCGCGUGAGUGAUGAAGUCCUGAAAGUAGUAAAGCACUUUUACCAGGGAUGAUAAUGACGGUACCUAAAGAAUAAGCUCCGGCUAACUCCGUG